Molecule: transfer RNA, 84 nt
Filed under: Anaerolineae bacterium
Lineage: Bacteria; Bacillati; Chloroflexota; Anaerolineae
Description: tRNA-Leu
Rfam family: tRNA
About the family: Transfer RNA (tRNA) molecules are approximately 80 nucleotides in length. Their secondary structure includes four short double-helical elements and three loops (D, anti-codon, and T loops). Further hydrogen bonds mediate the characteristic L-shaped molecular structure. tRNAs have two regions of fundamental functional importance: the anti-codon, which is responsible for specific mRNA codon recognition, and the 3' end, to which the tRNAs corresponding amino acid is attached (by aminoacyl-tRNA synthetases). tRNAs cope with the degeneracy of the genetic code in two manners: having more than one tRNA (with a specific anti-codon) for a particular amino acid; and 'wobble' base-pairing, i.e. permitting non-standard base-pairing at the 3rd anti-codon position.
Source: RNAcentral
GCCGAUGUGGUGAAACUGGCAAACACAAAGCACUCAAAAUGCUUCGCCUUAACGGGUUUGUGGGUUCGACUCCCACCAUCGGCA